This 468-nucleotide ribosomal RNA is filed under the name uncultured bacterium. RNAcentral describes it as "partial 16S ribosomal RNA". It matches the Rfam family "Bacterial small subunit ribosomal RNA", at positions 28 to 507 of the family's 1533-position model. The record is from RNAcentral.
GACGAACGCUGGCGGCGUGCUUAACACAUGCAAGUCGAACGGAGAGGCCCUGCUUUUGUGGGGUGCUCGAGUGGCGAACGGGUGAGUAGCACGUGAGUAACCUGCCCUUGACUUUGAGAUAACUUCAGGAAACUGGGGCUAAUACCGGAUAGGAGCUCCUGCUGCAUGGUGGGGGUUGGAAAGUUUCGGCGGUUGGGGAUGGACUCGCGGCUUAUCAGCUUGUUGGUGGGGUAGUGGCUUACCAAGGCUUUGACGGGUAGCCGGCCUGAGAGGGUGACCGGCCACAUUGGGACUGAGAUACGGCCCAGACUCCUACGGGAGGCAGCAGUGGGGAAUAUUGCACAAUGGGCGGAAGCCUGAUGCAGCAACGCCGCGUGCGGGAUGACGGCCUUCGGGUUGUAAACCGCUUUCGCCUGUGACGAAGCGUGAGUGACGGUAAUGGGUAAAGAAGCACCGGCUAACUACGUG